This 403-nucleotide ribosomal RNA is filed under the name uncultured bacterium. RNAcentral's name for it is "partial 16S ribosomal RNA". It matches the Rfam family "Bacterial small subunit ribosomal RNA", at positions 28 to 526 of the family's 1533-position model. The record is from RNAcentral.
GACGAACGCUGGCGGCGUGCCUAAUACAUGCAAGUCGAACGCAGUGGGGACGGGUGAGUAACACGUGGGUAACCUCCCAUCAGAGGGGAUAACACUUGGAAACAGGUGCUAAACCGAUAUUGCUGGAUGGACCCGCGGUGCAUUAGCUAGUGGGUGAGGUAACGGCUCACCAAGGCGACGAUCAGUAGCUGGCUUGAGAGGUGGCUCAGCCACCCUGGGACUGAGACACGGCCCAGACUCCUACGGGAGGCAGCAGUGGGGAAUUUUGGACAAUGGGCGAAAGCCGGACCGAGCCAUCCCGCGUGGAUGAAGAAGGCCUUCGGGUUGUAAAGCACUUUUAGCAGGGAAGCGGUACCUGCCCAAAAAGCCCCGGCUAACUACGUGCCAGCAGCCGCGGUAAUAC